Molecule: ribosomal RNA, 429 nt
Filed under: Bacteroidota bacterium
Lineage: Bacteria; Pseudomonadati; Bacteroidota
Description: Bacteroidetes bacterium partial 16S ribosomal RNA
Rfam family: Bacterial small subunit ribosomal RNA
Source: RNAcentral
UAGGGAAUCUUCGGCAAUGGGGGGAACCCUGACCGAGCAACGCCGCGUGAGUGAAGAAGGUUUUCGGAUCGUAAAGCUCUGUUGUUAAGGAAGAACGAGUGUGAGAAUGGAAAGUUCAUGCUGUGACGGUACUUAACCAGAAAGGGACGGCUAACUACGUGCCAGCAGCCGCGGUAAUACGUAAGGUCCGAGCGUUGUCCGGAAUCAUUGGGCGUAAAGGGUACGUAGGCGGGUAAGCAAGUUAGAAGUGAAAUCCUGUAGCUCAACUACAGUAAGCUUUUAAAACUGCUCAUGUUGAGAUAUGGAAGGGAAAGUGGAAUUCCUAGUGUAGCGGUGAAAUGCGCAGAUAUUAGGAGGAAAACCGGUGGCGAAGGCGACUUUCUGGCCAUAAUCUGACGCUGAGGUACGAAAGCGUGGGUAGCAAACAGG